Small nucleolar RNA from Loxodonta africana (African savanna elephant), 135 nucleotides. Ensembl annotates it as small nucleolar RNA SNORA42/SNORA80 family. Its record names the gene SNORA80E. Lineage: Eukaryota; Metazoa; Chordata; Mammalia; Proboscidea; Elephantidae. The record is from Ensembl.
GCAUGGUAAUGGAUUUAUGAUGGGCCCUUCUCUGUGAGUCUUUCAUAGUGGACCCAUGCCAGAAUAAACUGCAGCCUCAAACCAUUGCCGAGCCCCUACCCAUGGGCUGUGAGCACUGACGAGAGCUGUACACCC